This 2932-nucleotide ribosomal RNA is filed under the name Escherichia coli. Its description in RNAcentral is "23S ribosomal RNA". It matches the Rfam family "Bacterial large subunit ribosomal RNA". Lineage: Bacteria; Pseudomonadati; Pseudomonadota; Gammaproteobacteria; Enterobacterales; Enterobacteriaceae. The record is from RNAcentral.
GGGUUGUGAGGUUAAGCGACUAAGCGUACACGGUGGAUGCCCUGGCAGUCAGAGGCGAUGAAGGACGUGCUAAUCUGCGAUAAGCGUCGGUAAGGUGAUAUGAACCGUUAUAACCGGCGAUUUCCGAAUGGGGAAACCCAGUGUGAUUCGUCACACUAUCAUUAACUGAAUCCAUAGGUUAAUGAGGCGAACCGGGGGAACUGAAACAUCUAAGUACCCCGAGGAAAAGAAAUCAACCGAGAUUCCCCCAGUAGCGGCGAGCGAACGGGGAGCAGCCCAGAGCCUGAAUCAGUGUGUGUGUUAGUGGAAGCGUCUGGAAAGGCGCGCGAUACAGGGUGACAGCCCCGUACACAAAAAUGCACAUGCUGUGAGCUCGAUGAGUAGGGCGGGACACGUGGUAUCCUGUCUGAAUAUGGGGGGACCAUCCUCCAAGGCUAAAUACUCCUGACUGACCGAUAGUGAACCAGUACCGUGAGGGAAAGGCGAAAAGAACCCCGGCGAGGGGAGUGAAAAAGAACCUGAAACCGUGUACGUACAAGCAGUGGGAGCACAGAGCAAUCUGUGUGACUGCGUACCUUUUGUAUAAUGGGUCAGCGACUUAUAUUCUGUAGCAAGGUUAACCGAAUAGGGGAGCCGAAGGGAAACCGAGUCUUAACUGGGCGUUAAGUUGCAGGGUAUAGACCCGAAACCCGGUGAUCUAGCCAUGGGCAGGUUGAAGGUUGGGUAACACUAACUGGAGGACCGAACCGACUAAUGUUGAAAAAUUAGCGGAUGACUUGUGGCUGGGGGUGAAAGGCCAAUCAAACCGGGAGAUAGCUGGUUCUCCCCGAAAGCUAUUUAGGUAGCGCCUCGUGAAUUCAUCUCCGGGGGUAGAGCACUGUUUCGGCAAGGGGGUCAUCCCGACUUACCAACCCGAUGCAAACUGCGAAUACCGGAGAAUGUUAUCACGGGAGACACACGGCGGGUGCUAACGUCCGUCGUGAAGAGGGAAACAACCCAGACCGCCAGCUAAGGUCCCAAAGUCAUGGUUAAGUGGGAAACGAUGUGGGAAGGCCCAGACAGCCAGGAUGUUGGCUUAGAAGCAGCCAUCAUUUAAAGAAAGCGUAAUAGCUCACUGGUCGAGUCGGCCUGCGCGGAAGAUGUAACGGGGCUAAACCAUGCACCGAAGCUGCGGCAGCGACACUAUGUGUUGUUGGGUAGGGGAGCGUUCUGUAAGCCUGUGAAGGUGUACUGUGAGGUAUGCUGGAGGUAUCAGAAGUGCGAAUGCUGACAUAAGUAACGAUAAAGCGGGUGAAAAGCCCGCUCGCCGGAAGACCAAGGGUUCCUGUCCAACGUUAAUCGGGGCAGGGUGAGUCGACCCCUAAGGCGAGGCCGAAAGGCGUAGUCGAUGGGAAACAGGUUAAUAUUCCUGUACUUGGUGUUACUGCGAAGGGGGGACGGAGAAGGCUAUGUUGGCCGGGCGACGGUUGUCCCGGUUUAAGCGUGUAGGCUGGUUUUCCAGGCAAAUCCGGAAAAUCAAGGCUGAGGCGUGAUGACGAGGCACUACGGUGCUGAAGCAACAAAUGCCCUGCUUCCAGGAAAAGCCUCUAAGCAUCAGGUAACAUCAAAUCGUACCCCAAACCGACACAGGUGGUCAGGUAGAGAAUACCAAGGCGCUUGAGAGAACUCGGGUGAAGGAACUAGGCAAAAUGGUGCCGUAACUUCGGGAGAAGGCACGCUGAUAUGUAGGUGAAGUCCCUCGCGGAUGGAGCUGAAAUCAGUCGAAGAUACCAGCUGGCUGCAACUGUUUAUUAAAAACACAGCACUGUGCAAACACGAAAGUGGACGUAUACGGUGUGACGCCUGCCCGGUGCCGGAAGGUUAAUUGAUGGGGUCAGCGCAAGCGAAGCUCUUGAUCGAAGCCCCGGUAAACGGCGGCCGUAACUAUAACGGUCCUAAGGUAGCGAAAUUCCUUGUCGGGUAAGUUCCGACCUGCACGAAUGGCGUAAUGAUGGCCAGGCUGUCUCCACCCGAGACUCAGUGAAAUUGAACUCGCUGUGAAGAUGCAGUGUACCCGCGGCAAGACGGAAAGACCCCGUGAACCUUUACUAUAGCUUGACACUGAACAUUGAGCCUUGAUGUGUAGGAUAGGUGGGAGGCUUUGAAGUGUGGACGCCAGUCUGCAUGGAGCCGACCUUGAAAUACCACCCUUUAAUGUUUGAUGUUCUAACGUUGACCCGUGAUCCGGGUUGCGGACAGUGUCUGGUGGGUAGUUUGACUGGGGCGGUCUCCUCCUAAAGAGUAACGGAGGAGCACGAAGGUUGGCUAAUCCUGGUCGGACAUCAGGAGGUUAGUGCAAUGGCAUAAGCCAGCUUGACUGCGAGCGUGACGGCGCGAGCAGGUGCGAAAGCAGGUCAUAGUGAUCCGGUGGUUCUGAAUGGAAGGGCCAUCGCUCAACGGAUAAAAGGUACUCCGGGGAUAACAGGCUGAUACCGCCCAAGAGUUCAUAUCGACGGCGGUGUUUGGCACCUCGAUGUCGGCUCAUCACAUCCUGGGGCUGAAGUAGGUCCCAAGGGUAUGGCUGUUCGCCAUUUAAAGUGGUACGCGAGCUGGGUUUAGAACGUCGUGAGACAGUUCGGUCCCUAUCUGCCGUGGGCGCUGGAGAACUGAGGGGGGCUGCUCCUAGUACGAGAGGACCGGAGUGGACGCAUCACUGGUGUUCGGGUUGUCAUGCCAAUGGCACUGCCCGGUAGCUAAAUGCGGAAGAGAUAAGUGCUGAAAGCAUCUAAGCACGAAACUUGCCCCGAGAUGAGUUCUCCCUGACUCCUUGAGAGUCCUGAAGGAACGUUGAAGACGACGACGUUGAUAGGCCGGGUGUGUAAGCGCAGCGAUGCGUUGAGCUAACCGGUACUAAUGAACCGUGAGGCUUAACCUUACAACGCCGAAGGUGUUU